This 968-nucleotide ribosomal RNA is filed under the name Campylobacter jejuni. RNAcentral's name for it is "partial 23S ribosomal RNA". It matches the Rfam family "Bacterial large subunit ribosomal RNA", at positions 1966 to 2925 of the family's 2925-position model. The record is from RNAcentral. Lineage: Bacteria; Pseudomonadati; Campylobacterota; Epsilonproteobacteria; Campylobacterales; Campylobacteraceae.
UCCUUGUCGGGUAAGUUCCGACCUGCACGAAUGGCGUAAUGAUGGCCAGGCUGUCUCCACCCGAGACUCAGUGAAAUUGAACUCGCUGUGAAGAUGCAGUGUACCCGCGGCAAGACGGAAAGACCCCGUGAACCUUUACUAUAGCUUGACACUGAACAUUGAGCCUUGAUGUGUAGGAUAGGUGGGAGGCUUUGAAGUGUGGACGCCAGUCUGCAUGGAGCCGACCUUGAAAUACCACCCUUUAAUGUUUGAUGUUCUAACGUGGACCCGUAAUCCGGGUUGCGGACAGUGUCUGGUGGGUAGUUUGACUGGGGCGGUCUCCUCCUAAAGAGUAACGGAGGAGCACGAAGGUUGGCUAAUCCUGGUCGGACAUCAGGAGGUUAGUGCAAUGGCAUAAGCCAGCUUGACUGCGAGCGUGACGGCGCGAGCAGGUGCGAAAGCAGGUCAUAGUGAUCCGGUGGUUCUGAAUGGAAGGGCCAUCGCUCAACGGAUAAAAGGUACUCCGGGGAUAACAGGCUGAUACCGCCCAAGAGUUCAUAUCGACGGCGGUGUUUGGCACCUCGAUGUCGGCUCAUCACAUCCUGGGGCUGAAGUAGGUCCCAAGGGUAUGGCUGUUCGCCAUUUAAAGUGGUACGCGAGCUGGGUUUAGAACGUCGUGAGACAGUUCGGUCCCUAUCUGCCGUGGGCGCUGGAGAACUGAGGGGGGCUGCUCCUAGUACGAGAGGACCGGAGUGGACGCAUCACUGGUGUUCGGGUUGUCAUGCCAAUGGCACUGCCCGGUAGCUAAAUGCGGAAGAGAUAAGUGCUGAAAGCAUCUAAGCACGAAACUUGCCCCGAGAUGAGUUCUCCCUGAGACUUAGAGUCUCCUGAAGGAACGUUGAAGACGACGACGUUGAUAGGCCGGGUGUGUAAGCGCAGCGAUGCGUUGAGCUAACCGGUACUAAUGAACCGUGAGGCUUAACCUUACA